RNAcentral lists this ribosomal RNA (253 nucleotides) under uncultured bacterium. RNAcentral's name for it is "partial 16S ribosomal RNA". It matches the Rfam family "Archaeal small subunit ribosomal RNA", at positions 474 to 727 of the family's 1478-position model. The record is from RNAcentral.
UACCAGCACCCCGAGUGGUCGGUACGAUUAUUGGGCCUAAAGCAUCCGUAGCCGGUCCUACAAGUCUUCCGUUAAAUCCACCUGCUUAACAGAUGGGCUGCGGAAGAUACUAUAGGGCUAGGAGGCGGGAGAGGCAAGCGGUACUCAGUGGGUAGGGGUAAAAUCCUCUGAUCCAUUGAAGACCACCAGUGGCGAAGGCGGCUUGCCAGAACGCGCUCGACGGUGAGGGAUGAAAGCUGGGGGAGCAAACGGG